AUGGUUAAGUUAGAAAGGGCGCACGGUGAAUGCCUUGGCACUAGGAGCCGAUGAAGGACGGGACUAACACCGAUAUGCUUCGGGGAGCUGUAAGUGAGCUUUGAUCCGGAGAUUUCCGAAUGGGGAAACCCACUGUUCGUAAUGGAACAGUAUCUUUAUCUGAAUACAUAGGAUAUUGAAGGCAGACCCGGGGAACUGAAACAUCUAAGUACCCGGAGGAAGAGAAAGCAAAUGCGAUUUCCUGAGUAGCGGCGAGCGAAACGGAAUUAGCCCAAACCAAGAGGCUUGCCUCUUGGGGUUGUAGGACACUCUAUACGGAGUUACAAAGGAACGAAGUAAAUGAAGCGACCUGGAAAGGUCCGUCGAAGAAGGUAACAACCCUGUAGUUGAAACUUCGUUCCCUCUUGAGUGGAUCCUGAGUACGGCGGAACACGUGAAAUUCCGUCGGAAGCUGGGAGGACCAUCUCCCAAGGCUAAAUACUACCUAGUGACCGAUAGUGAACCAGUACCGUGAGGGAAAGGUGAAAAGCACCCCGGAAGGGGAGUGAAAGAGAUCCUGAAACCGUGUGCCUACAAGUAGUCAGAGCCCGUUAACGGGUGAUGGCGUGCCUUUUGUAGAAUGAACCGGCGAGUUACGAUCCCAUGCAAGGUUAAGCUGAUAAGGCGGAGCCGUAGCGAAAGCGAGUCUGAAUAGGGCGUUUAGUAUGUGGUUGUAGACCCGAAACCAGGUGAUCUACCCAUGUCCAGGGUGAAGUUCAGGUAACACUGAAUGGAGGCCCGAACCCACGCACGUUGAAAAGUGCGGGGAUGAGGUGUGGGUAGCGGAGAAAUUCCAAUCGAACCUGGAGAUAGCUGGUUCUCUCCGAAAUAGCUUUAGGGCUAGCCUCAUGUUGUGAGAGUCUUGGAGGUAGAGCACUGAUUGGACUAGGGGCCCCCAACGGGUUACCGAAUUCAGUCAAACUCCGAAUGCCAAAGACUUAUCCAUGGGAGUCAGACUGCGAGUGAUAAGAUCCGUAGUCAAAAGGGAAACAGCCCAGACCACCAGCUAAGGUCCCCAAGUAUACGUUAAGUGGAAAAGGAUGUGGAGUUGCUUAGACAACCAGGAUGUUGGCUUAGAAGCAGCCACCAUUUAAAGAGUGCGUAAUAGCUCACUGGUCGAGUGACUCUGCGCCGAAAAUGUACCGGGGCUAAACGUAUCACCGAAGCUGUGGAUUGACAUCUUAGAUGUCAGUGGUAGGAGAGCGUUCUAAGUGCAGCGAAGUCAGACCGUAAGGACUGGUGGAGCGCUUAGAAGUGAGAAUGCCGGUAUGAGUAGCGAAAGACAAGUGAGAAUCUUGUCCACCGAAUGCCUAAGGUUUCCUGAGGAAGGCUCGUCCGCUCAGGGUUAGUCGGGACCUAAGCCGAGGCUGAAAAGCGUAGGCGAUGGCCAACAGGUUGAUAUUCCUGUACCACCUCCCCGCCGUUUGAGUAAUGGGGGGACGCAGUAGGAUAGGGUAAGCGCGCUGCUGGAUAUGCGCGUUCAAGCAGUUAGGCUGAUGAGUAGGCAAAUCCGCUCAUCAUAAAGGCUGAGCUGUGAUGACGAGGGAAUUAUAGUACCGAAGUUCCUGAUUCCACACUGCCAAGAAAAGCCUCUAGCGAGGCGGGAGGUGCCCGUACCGCAAACCGACACAGGUAGGCGAGGAGAGAAUCCUAAGGUGAUCGAGAGAACUCUCGUUAAGGAACUCGGCAAAAUGACCCCGUAACUUCGGGAGAAGGGGUGCUCUGGUAGGGUGUAUAGCCCGAGAGAGCCGCAGUGAAUAGGCCCAGGCGACUGUUUAGCAAAAACACAGGUCUCUGCGAAGCCGCAAGGCGAAGUAUAGGGGCUGACGCCUGCCCGGUGCUGGAAGGUUAAGAGGAGGGGUUAUCCUUUGGGAGAAGCUCUGAAUCGAAGCCCCAGUAAACGGCGGCCGUAACUAUAACGGUCCUAAGGUAGCGAAAUUCCUUGUCGGGUAAGUUCCGACCCGCACGAAAGGCGUAACGAUCUGGGCACUGUCUCAACGAGAGACUCGGUGAAAUUAUAGUACCUGUGAAGAUGCAGGUUACCCGCGACAGGACGGAAAGACCCCGUGGAGCUUUACUGUAGCCUGAUAUUGAAUUUUGGUACAGCUUGUACAGGAUAGGUAGGAGCCUGAGAAGCCGGAGCGCUAGCUUCGGUGGAGGCGUCGGUGGGAUACUACCCUGGCUGUAUUGAAAUUCUAACCCGCGGCCCUGAUCGGGCCGGGAGACAGUGUCAGGUGGGCAGUUUGACUGGGGCGGUCGCCUCCUAAAAUGUAACGGAGGCGCCCAAAGGUUCCCUCAGAAUGGUUGGAAAUCAUUCGUAGAGUGUAAAGGCACAAGGGAGCUUGACUGCGAGACCUACAAGUCGAGCAGGGACGAAAGUCGGGCUUAGUGAUCCGGUGGUUCCGCAUGGAAGGGCCAUCGCUCAACGGAUAAAAGCUACCCCGGGGAUAACAGGCUUAUCUCCCCCAAGAGUCCACAUCGACGGGGAGGUUUGGCACCUCGAUGUCGGCUCAUCGCAUCCUGGGGCUGUAGUCGGUCCCAAGGGUUGGGCUGUUCGCCCAUUAAAGCGGUACGCGAGCUGGGUUCAGAACGUCGUGAGACAGUUCGGUCCCUAUCCGUCGUGGGCGUAGGAAAUUUGAGAGGAGCUGUCCUUAGUACGAGAGGACCGGGAUGGACACACCGCUGGUGUACCAGUUGUCUUGCCAAAGGCAUCGCUGGGUAGCUAUGUGUGGACGGGAUAAGUGCUGAAAGCAUCUAAGCAUGAAGCCCCCCUCAAGAUGAGAUUUCCCAUAGCGCAAGCUAGUAAGAUCCCUGAAAGAUGAUCAGGUUGAUAGGUCAGAGGUGGAAGCGUGGCGACAUGUGUAGCUGACUGAUACUAAUCGAUCGAGGACUUAACCAAA
RNAcentral lists this ribosomal RNA (2939 nucleotides) under Priestia megaterium. Its description in RNAcentral is "Bacillus megaterium 23S ribosomal RNA". It matches the Rfam family "Bacterial large subunit ribosomal RNA". Lineage: Bacteria; Bacillati; Bacillota; Bacilli; Caryophanales; Bacillaceae. The record is from RNAcentral.